Molecule: long non-coding RNA, 658 nt
Organism: Panicum virgatum (switchgrass)
Lineage: Eukaryota; Viridiplantae; Streptophyta; Magnoliopsida; Poales; Poaceae
Exons: 2
Source: RefSeq, a predicted model, not a curated record
CUCCCCAAAUCUCGCGCAGCAGCAGCUGAGGAGCUUUGAUCUGGCGCCGCUCCGCCGCUCUCUUCCAGCCUGGUGGAUCUGUGCGAAGCUGGCGGUAGCCUCAUGCCCAGAGGGCCCGAGGUGCGUAUGGGCCUGCAGUCGGCGAGUGCGGAGUUCCGGCGGGGAACUGGACGACCCCAGGUCGGGGCUGCCGAGGACCUCCGCUGCCUCUGUUUGGCCUCCCUGCAGUGAUGUGCGCGGAGUUGCGGCAGGGAGGCACAGCAUGCAGGCCCCGUGCGCGGCCAUGAUUCCAGCAGCGACUAGUGGUAGCCACAAUGACAUCGGCAAGAAUAUACUGCUCUUAUUUGGAUUGCAGCAUGCAAGUUUAAGGUAGAAACUUUGGGUAAUUUAGGGCAAACACUUUGGCAGUCUAUAUACAAAUAUGUCAAUAGAGGACAUGUAAGUUCCAUUGUGGAGGAUUGUGGGCACUCUGUGAGCAGUAUGAUUGUCAAUUGCUCAAAUGCUUAUUCAUUCUCUAGUUAAAUGCAGUAGAAAUUUGCAUUUUUGGAAUAUUAAAAUGAACAAUGUACCGAAUUGAUGGACUGAUAGAACAAUGCUUGCAAUGAUGAAUUGAUUGUUGCCAUACAGUGAUAUAUGAAUGAGUUGAAUUUAUUGAUUA